RNAcentral lists this non-coding RNA (105 nucleotides) under Platyophrya macrostoma. Lineage: Eukaryota; Ciliophora; Colpodea; Cyrtolophosidida; Platyophryidae. The record is from RNAcentral.
UUCAAACACAAAACGAAAUCCAAAAAAAAAAAAAUCAAAAAAAAAAUAUUAUACGUUGUCAUUCUCCUGUGAAUGAUUUUCCUUUGUCGAUUCAUAUUCACUUCA